This is a non-coding RNA of Suillus brevipes Sb2, 80 nucleotides long. Lineage: Eukaryota; Fungi; Basidiomycota; Agaricomycetes; Boletales; Suillaceae. The record is from the annotation of a GenBank genome assembly.
GGCGUUAUAGUGUAGUGGUCAUCACUUGGGAUUUUGAUAUACGAUUUCCCGGAACCCAGGUUCGAACCCUGGUAACGCCU